Molecule: ribosomal RNA, 1593 nt
Filed under: Triticum aestivum (bread wheat)
Lineage: Eukaryota; Viridiplantae; Streptophyta; Magnoliopsida; Poales; Poaceae
Description: partial small subunit ribosomal RNA
Source: RNAcentral
AUGCCAUCUUCCGCUGUCUUGUUUCCAAGCUUUGUUUGGUUUCUAUACCUCUUUUGCUUCCUUUGCAGCCUACCACUAGCCAUCUGCAAGGAAACUGAAAAUGAUAGACAGGCCCUCCUUUGCUUCAAGUCCAGACUCUCAGGCCCAGCACGAGUUUUAGCUUCAUGGAGCAAUAAGUCCUUUGAUGUUUGCGAGUGGCAUGGGAUCACCUGCAGCAAACCGUAUCCUCGCCGUGUGAUUGCGCUGGACCUCGAGUCGGAAGGCAUAUCAGGCUCCAUAUCACCUUGCGUUGCUAACCUGACUUCUAUUACAAGGCUGCAGCUGUCAAACAACAACUUCAGUGGUGGCAUACCAUCGGAGAUUGGCCUCCUGCGCCGUCUCCGUGAGCUCAACCUCAGCAGGAACAAUUUGGAAGGUAACAUACCGCCAUCUUUGGGCACCAGCCCUUCUCUCACAUAUGUCAAUCUUGGGGUGAACGCUCUAACAGGGGUCAUCCCGGAGUCCCUGGCAUAUAGUUCAUCCUUCCGAAUACUUUGGCUCAAUGGCAAUAGUCUUGGUGGAAAACUGCCAAAGGCUCUCUUCAACUCAUCAUCUCUUGUUGACAUUUCCCUCCAACAGAACAACCUUGUUGGUUCCAUACCUGUUGUUACUGCCACCUCUCCCCCUAUUGAAUACCUCGAUUUAAGUGAUAAUCAUAUUUCAGGAAAAAUACCUUCCUCACUAGGGAACCUUUCCUCCCUUGUGGAUCUUCGUCUUACGGGGAACAAUUUAGUCGGGAGCAUACCAGAGAGCUUAGGUCAUAUCUCACCUCUGCAGAUACUGGCAUUGACUGCCAACAACUUGUCUGGGACAGUUCCACCAUCUCUCUUCAAUAUGUCAUCUCUGACAUUUCUUAGCCUAGGAAACAACUCGCUUGUUGGAAGGUUACCCCCUAAUAUUAGCUACACACUCCCGAAUAUUCAGACAUUAGUGCUCUCAACAAACAAGUUUGAAAGCCCAAUCCCAGCUUCUCUUCCAAAAGUUUACAACCUUCGUCAGCUUUACUUGUAUAACAACACACUAACUGGGUUCAUACCCUUCUUUGGGUCAUUGCCAAAUUUGGAGGAACUUGAUUUGUCAUACAACAGGCUAGCAACAGGAAACUGGGGAUUUAUGUCUUCACUCGCAAAUUGUACCAGGUUGACUAAGCUGCUGUUGGUUGGGAACAAUCUUCAAGGCAAAAUGCCAAGUUCGAUAGGCAAUCUUUCUGAUAGUCUUGAGUGGCUUUGGCUAAGGGAAAACCAAAUUUCUGGGCCUAUACCACAAGAGAUUGGCAAUCUUAAGAGCCUCACUAGGGUUUACAUGGAUUACAAUCUUAUCACUGGAAAUAUACCACCAACUAUUGGUAAUUUGCACCGCUUGGUCCAUCUAUCUUUUGCACACAACAAACUGUCAGGGCAAAUCCCAGAUACUAUUGGUAAUCUUGUUAAGCUAAUUUCAUUGAAACUGGAUGAGAACAACAUUAGUGGAAGGAUACCUGCAAGUAUAGGAAGUUGUACUCAACUCGAGGAACUCAACCUUCGUCAGAACUCACUAGGUGGGAGUAUAUUUUAA